Molecule: long non-coding RNA, 7271 nt
Filed under: Lathyrus oleraceus (garden pea)
Lineage: Eukaryota; Viridiplantae; Streptophyta; Magnoliopsida; Fabales; Fabaceae
Description: Pisum sativum (pea) long non-coding RNA (PSAT_LNC009181)
Source: RNAcentral
CCUUCUAAACUUGGUUAGGUUCUUUUCGAAGUGCUUGACUCCAUUAUUCCUUAUAUACCUUUGGUACCUUUUGACAAACAAUCACAUGUCCUCAUCAUCGGAGUUCUUGUCAUCUCUUAUUUUCACAAUCACUUUGCUCAAUAUGUGAAGGCUUUGAGCUUUAAGUCUUUAGAGCAAUAGACUUAUUCUUUUCCACCUUGUAUUUACCUUUCUCUUUCUUUACCUUCAUCUCAUGUUUUUUUCAUGUUUUUCCAAGCAAGAGAGUUAUUGCUCACAUUCUUCCAAUUUUCCAAACAAAGUAGUGAGAUCAAGUACUUUAAGAUCAUUUGCCUCCUUGAUUGCGGUGACUUGGGUUAUCAUUCCCUAUUAAGACACCUCAAAACCUUAUUAGUAGCAAUAUCAUUGGAAAUAGCCUUACCUAGAUCACUCAAGCGGUUAAUAAGAUGUGUGAACCUUUUUUGCAUUUCAACAAUGGUUUCACCAUGCUUCAUACGAAAGAGUUCAAACUCUUGAUUCAAUGUGUUGAUCCUAGAUUUUUUGACCUCAUUAGUUCCCUCAUGGGUAACUUGUAAUGCGUCCCACAUAGCCUUGGCGGUUUCACAAUGGGAAACACUAUAAAAUUCAUCAACAUCGAGUGCUGAUAUGCGAAUGUUUUGUGCUUUCCAAUCGUAAGACCAUAAUUUCUUAUCAUUAUCAUUUCAUUGAUUUUCCGGUUUUGGUACGACGACGCCUUCACCAUUGGUCAUUGUAAUUUAAUUUAGGACCAUUGAUGAUGAUGUCCCAUACACCCUUAUCAACUGAAUUGAUAUAGAUACACAUAUAAGCUUUCCAAUAGCCAUAGUUUUUGCCGGUGAAAAUUGGUGCUCUAUUGUACGCCCUUUUAGGUUCGAUAGCCAUUUUAUAAUAAGCAAAUCUUAAGCAUGGAAUUAACUGGAUCUCGUGAUACCACUUGUUAGACGAUAGGCUUAGAUCUAGAUGAGGGUGAAUAGAUCCCGAGUUAAAAACUUCGACAAAAAUAUGCCUGCAUUGGUUGAUUUUUGCAUGUUAAAAACUUUCCUGAGCUACGGAAUGCACUUCCGUAUUAUGUCUAUAUUGGUUGAUUUUUGCAUGUUUGUCAUAUAGGUUUGCUUUUUUUUGCUUUGUAUUCUUUGUCUAGUUUAACUAUAGGUAAAAUGGUUGACAACUAAGAUUGAUUGAGGCACGAUAGAAUGUCCCAGGAAAUAUAUGUUCGUAAGGAGAGAGCUAGACUCUUGCGACCAUCUGUUGGUGCCAAUUCAUUUAAUACAAAAGUGUCCACUUCUAAAUUUCAAUUGUCUUCGACCUCAUAUUCCUAGAGGCAAGUGUCACUUGUUGCUGCCCCAGAAGUCCCACUAGUCCAUGUUGAUGCACGUGAUGUCGAUGGUGUCAUUCAUGAAGUUGUUCCUGAGGUUUUUAGAGGAGACUCGUAUGACACUUCACUACAUCCUCUACAUGUUACAUAAUGACAUUAGAGAGAGAAAAAAUUAAAAUAACCACUUUUUUCAAAAAAAAUCUAAAAUAAUCAAUAUUUCAAAAAAAAUCCAAAAUAACCACCUUUCAAAAUAGAUGCACUAGAUGAACUGGCGCAUCCAUUUUGAACCAAGAGGAGGCGCCAACACCACUGUCGCAUGCUUUAAAAGCAAUGCAUGGUGGCUCCAAGGGUGUUAGCGCAUACAUGUACUUGCAUGUGCUUGCGCCCAUGCUUCUGGCGCCUACAUGUGUUGAUAUGUGUGGCGCCUAGCCCUUUGGCGCAUGCAUUUUCAUACUUCUUCUAUAAAUACCUCGUCCUUCAACCAUAUUUUUCACACAACUUUUACCCUAUAACCACAUUUUCUUUCAGUCAACUUCAAUCUCCUUCAAGCUUUUGAGUUUUAACCAUGUCUGAAUACAUUCACAAGUGAAAUGUCGAUUUACUCUUUUCCGUCGUUGCGUCUCCGAUAAAGAUUCGACUUUGGAAUAUAGAUUCGUUUGAACGUCUUAAUCGGACAUUGAACAGUUGGUUAGAUGGAGAAAUUGGAGAUGGUGAAAGGAUUAGAAGAAUCCAAUGGCUUGUGUCCACGUUCAACCAAAAUGGAGAAGUGCGUGAAUCAGUGGGUAUUAAGACUGACAGAGAUGUUCAUAGGAUGAUGCAUUACAUGUUCAAAAUUGUUUUGAUGGUUGUAAUCGCUUAGUUAUUGUAAUGGUAUUUUAAUUAUUUUAGUUGUUUGUGUUGUUGUUUAUAUAAUGGUAUUUCCUCACAAACUUAUAAUAUGAAAUAAAAUUAGUUUUUUUAUAUAUUGCAACAGAGGUACAUGUGAAUUUAUCUUGUUGUGCUCGUUCCAACACUAUGACAGUUAGUACGAUUGUGACCUGGCUGACAGCAUGAACUACAUAAUCAAACCAUUUUGUUCGCCAUAUCCAUUUCGGUUCGAAUACUGGUGUUGUUUGACAACCUUCUUCUGCAACAUUUUGUCUUUGAUCUCCCGCAUAAAAUUAUGAGCAAUAUGUCUAAUACAUAAGACAUGCGUCGAAGGAGAAUCCUGUCAGUCAUUAUCAAUGUUAUCAUAUGCACUGAUGAUUGAAGGGUGUCUGUCGGAGAUCAAACAUAAGUUAGGUUGGGGUGCAACGUGCAACCAGAGAUUUCUUAGGAAAAAACUUCAUCCCUCAGCAAUCUCCCCUUCAACAAGGGCAAAGGCGAUUGGAAAAAUAUUGUUAUUAUCAUCUUGUGCCACUGCCAUUAGUAACGUUCCUUUGUAUUUCCCGUACAACCAUGUACCAUCAAUUUGUAUAAUAGGUUUACAAAAAAAAAACCUUUGAUGCAUGGUUGAUACGCCUAGAAGAGACGGUGGAAUUAUUGGGUGCCCCUUUGUGUGAUGACCAAACUGAGGGAGAGUCAUCCGGUCAAGUUAGGGGGAAAGGUAUAAAUUUAAAAUAUCUUAAACAAUAUUAUGAGAAUAUAAUAUUGUCCGAAGAAUCAACCGAGUACAAAAAAAUAGUUAAAGCUCGGUGUUAUAUUAUGAUUUUAUUUGGUAAUUUUUUAUUUCUAGAAAGUACUAGUAAUACAGUAAAUAUUAUGUAUUUAUCGUUAUUACACAACAUUAAUAAGGUAAGCACAUAUAGUUGCGGUUCAGCUGUGCUGGCCCAUCUAUAUAGUGCAAUAUGUAAAAAUUCCAAAAAAAAAUACUUGUACUUUUUAUUCAUGUGCGUAUUUGCUACAAGCAUGGGGUUGGUCAAGAAUGUCGCCAUUCACCCCUGAUAAACGAGAAGCCAUUCAUAUUUCUGUUUGCAACAAAGUAAGUUUAAAACUUUACCAUACAAUUAAUUAUACUUUAUAUUACUAUUAACUGUACAUGAUAUUUAUCAAUUGUCUAUGAUCUAGGUGGUCAGUUAGAGGGAUGAACUACAAUGGAUGUCUGAAACACGUUAUAGUAGUCUAUCGCAAUCUAUUGGAUCACAUUGGACCAGACGAUGUAAUACUCCUACACAACUCUGUUUUAAUUUAAACAUACUUAUCAAAUUAUUUAUCAUCUAAUCGUGUCGUAUUGUUGUACAGUUUAUCUGGAGGUCAUAUAUGGGUCUUAAUCAUCAGGUUAACCAUGAUGAUGCUGCAGUUUGGACAGCAAAGACACCAAUUAUUCGGUUCACUACUGUGGAGAUGCACUAGAGUGAUCGGGUAAAACUGCAGUUCGGCAUGCAACAACAGAUUCCAGAACCUUCGACGUGUUUGGGAGAUUGGCAUCAAAAAAAAGUCGAUACCCAAUGGGAUUAUUCUGACUGGAGAGACUCCGCAAAAGAGAUGUGUCGUCAUUGGAGGAAUCGACGACAACACAUCUUAAACGAACUAGUCAUACAUGGUGCUAGACCAACUCAACAAUAUAUGACAUGGUUUAGGUCAGUAACAACGCAACAAUUUGUGUCUGAACCACGGUAUUUGAUUGAUCCACGCCAACUAGUUUCGUCAUCAUACGCCCAACAACAAGUCCCCGUCCAACACCAAUGUCAAACCACCCAAACCCAACAACCAACCUCACACCAUCAACCUACCACAUACACCCAACAACCAAAUGCCCAACUUCGCAACACAUUCAUGCCACCCACCCAACAACUAAACACCCAACCUCGCAAUCCAUUCAUGCCACCCACCCAACCAUAAAACCAAGAAUCAAACUCUACCUACCAACAACCAUACUUAUCAACCACAACCAUCUAUAGCCCAGAUGAUUCAUAUGGGUCACUUCAUCGUAGCCCCCCACCAAUGACCAUCCAAACAUCCCAUCACCAAAAUACUCAACCAUUGUUUAACUAUAGUACACCCCAAUAAUCAUUUCUUCGUUUCCAAAAUGAUUCAAUGUCCCAAUUCUGGCAACUAUACCGUCCAUAAUUCACCCAACCACAUCGACCCAACUAUGACAACAUGGGCACCGAACUACAUUACGGAAGCGUUGUUGGCCAGAGCCCCCGAGCUAUUGGGAACAAAUGAUGACACGUCUAUCAAAUACUGCUAGCACUUCCGCCGGACCUUCACAACAGUCAUCAUUGGAUCAAGUCAGCACGCAAAGACCCCAAACACCUUAGGAAAAUCGUGGGAGACCUUGAAGACAAACUAACGCACCUGGUGUCAUACCCCAAUUUUGUCCGGGCAUAUUUAAAUUUUCAUAGAAUUGAUUUCAUUUUUAUUUUACAUCAUAUGCAUAGCAUGACAUACGUUCCAUCAUGAACAAUACCUAAAAUAUCAGUCAGAAUAAAUUUAUUGAAAAUACAGACAAAUCGGUUGAAUCAUUCCUCAAGAACAUGCAAAAUCAGCGGGUAAAAAGUUUCAAAUUUAAAAUUACAGACACCAAUACUAUUAAUCUACGGUUCACGUAGUUUAACCUGGUGUGCUCGUUGUAUUUUUCAGCGACUAUUUCGGUCGCAUUUUGAUCCGUCUGAGCCUUUUAACCGGUGCAAAUUUAUUUCAGAAUAUGAAGAAACGCUGUAUUUUUUCAAUAAGUAUAUUUUAUGCUGAUCAUUUUAGUGUGACCAAUUUAAUUUUCCGAGUAAAUUUGUACUCGGUUUCUAUUUCUAAUUGGUCAAUUUUGUUUUGGUUUAGUUAUUAAUUAAAAGUAAUUUAAGUUUAUUUGAAUCAAAUAUUAAAUAAAAAUUUUAGGAGUUUAUUUUCUUAAAGGAAUAAUAAUUUAAUGAAAAAAUAUAUUUGGUACAUUGGAUCCUGCCAACUGGUAUCCACUCACAUGUCUCCUCACGCAGCCACCUAUCACUGUCCUCACGCCUCCCUACUCAGCUACCAACACAUCUCUCUCAAUCACUCAGCUACCAACAGCUCUCUCUCUGUCCACUAUUUCACUCAUCCUUAUCCUCUCUUUCACACGGCACCAAUUCACUCACCACAAACAAAAUUCAUUCACACACACAUUUCUCUGAACCUCUCUUCUCUCUCUACUCUACGAAAAAAAAGAAAAAUAAGAAGAGGAUUUUCCUCUUCAUCUCUUCAUCGCCUCCACCACCCAAAACCACCCUAACAGCCACCAUUCACCGCCGAAAUCCACCGAUUAACCUCCACCCACUAAAACCCCUUCACCAACAACUCCAUCGCUUCACCUUCAAAUCGCUAUCUUCAACCCCUAAAUCAACCCGCCACUCACAAAUCGAAAACCCUCGAGAUUAACCUCCACCCACUAAAACCCCUUCACCAACAACUCCAUCGCUUCACCUUCAAAUCGCUAUCUUCAACCCCUAAAUCAACCCGCCACUCACAAAUCGAAAACCCUCGCCGCUCAAGCCACCAUCGACCAACGACCUUCUGCUCUCUCCGCCGUAGACCGGUCCAUCACCAUUUCUUCAAGAUCCUUCCUAUCACCGGUAAUCGCAGAAUAAAACCCAACGGCGCUUCGGCAUUUAGCUCGGAUCUAGAUUCUCGGUGACUUAAGGAUAUUUGGGAGUAUUUGAUUCGCAACGGUAGCUUGAAGAAGACAGUGUCGCGACUUAUCUUCAAAAAGCUCAAGGUUGGAGUAUGGUUUUUCUGUUGUACGCGAACGAAGCAACACGAAGCAACGCCGAAACCACAAUGGUUUGAGGAUGUUGAAAGGGUUGGUAUUAGCAGUUGAUGCGGUCUGCUAAGGAUGCAGUAACUCGGUGUAAAAGCAACAUCGCUCGCAAGCCAAGGAUGCAACAACAACGGUUCUGUUAUUUGGUAACUCCUUUGUUCAAGAACUCAUCACAUUUUUGAGAUGUUUUUUUUUUAUUUGAAUCAUUUUAUGUUGGAAUACGUUGAUAUUAUGGAUAGACUUUGUGUGAUAUAUACUGCGUUGUUAACAUUGCAACAACCACCUCCAAGAAUUUGGUAAUCUUUAAAUCCUUUGGUUUUGUUUGCAUUAUAAUUGCCAUUGUUGUGCAUUGGGAUUUGCCGUAUCGACUUGUUAACUUCUCGUUAAUAUUCCGGCCUUUCGUAACAUAACCUGUUUUGGUUAAAUUUAUGAUUAAGAAUUGUGAUUCUGCAUAAGCUACAGUCUUGUGCAUCCGAUUGGUUUUGAUAAUAUGUUGUGUAGUUAAGUGUUGAAUAUUUUGACGAAAUUCUGAAAUUUCUGUUCAACUCACUGCAUCCGUCUUGUUUACUCUUUGAUAAAAGUUGAAUAUUUGAUAAAAAUUCUGCUAUGAAUUUAAUACAUUUGGCUAAAAAUUAUGCUAUGAAUUUAACACAUUUGGUUAAAAAUUCUGCUAUAGUAAUAAUACAUAUUUUUAGUUGUUACUAUACUUCAGUUUUAUUUUGAUAUAGCAGGUGAGUUACAUUGCCAUGUUUUAUCUCGUAAGUCCAUUUGGCCUGAGUAUUUGAGUUUUAAUUAUGCACAUGUGAUCGGAAUUUCAAUUUAAGAUCGUGUCUGUUUGCAAAUUCAUUUGUGUUGAAACUUAAACUUUUGAAUUGAUUCCGUAGAUUGUUUUAGUUGCAGUCAUUUGAUUUUGGGGUAUGUCAAUUAAAAAACUAUGGAUUUUAUUUUGGGGUAUGUCAAUUGAAAAACCAGGGAUAUAUGGAAUGGUUACUAUAUUGGAAUUAAAGAUAGUUUCUAGCAUGAUAUAAAUUCCAAGGUUUAAACUUAUUCUUGCAUUAUUCCAACUUUUGAGUCAAUUAGUCUUUCUUCUAGUUAAGGGGAAUAUGGAUAAUAUUAAUUAUAAUAUUAUGAUUAUAUUAAUUAAUAUUGUAGUUAUAUUGUCAAUUAAGGGUUAAAGAGUGUGAUUAUGUUGAUAAAUAAUUGUUAAAAAAAAUUAAUUUUAAUCAACUUUAU